Molecule: ribosomal RNA, 263 nt
Filed under: uncultured bacterium
Lineage: Bacteria
Description: partial 16S ribosomal RNA
Rfam family: Bacterial small subunit ribosomal RNA
Source: RNAcentral
GUCCACGCCGUAAACGAUGGGUGCUAGGUGUGGGGAGUGUCGACUCUCUCUGUGCCGAAGCUAACGCAUUAAGCACCCCGCCUGGGGAGUACGGCCGCAAGGCUAAAACUCAAAGGAAUUGACGGGGGCCCGCACAAGCAGCGGAGCAUGUGGUUUAAUUCGACGCAACGCGAAGAACCUUACCAGGGCUUGACAUGCACGGGAAUGUCGUAGAAAUACGGCAGCCCUUCGGGGCUCGUGCACAGGUGGUGCAUGGCUGUCGU